RNAcentral lists this ribosomal RNA (710 nucleotides) under Faecalibacterium prausnitzii. RNAcentral's name for it is "bacterial SSU rRNA". It matches the Rfam family "Bacterial small subunit ribosomal RNA", at positions 426 to 1162 of the family's 1533-position model. Lineage: Bacteria; Bacillati; Bacillota; Clostridia; Eubacteriales; Oscillospiraceae. The record is from RNAcentral.
UAAACUCCUGUUGUUGAGGAAGAUAAUGACGGUACUCAACAAGGAAGUGACGGCUAACUACGUGCCAGCAGCCGCGGUAAAACGUAGGUCACAAGCGUUGUCCGGAAUUACUGGGUGUAAAGGGAGCGCAGGCGGGAAGACAAGUUGGAAGUGAAAUCUAUGGGCUCAACCCAUAAACUGCUUUCAAAACUGUUUUUCUUGAGUAGUGCAGAGGUAGGCGGAAUUCCCGGUGUAGCGGUGGAAUGCGUAGAUAUCGGGAGGAACACCAGUGGCGAAGGCGGCCUACUGGGCACCAACUGACGCUGAGGCUCGAAAGUGUGGGUAGCAAACAGGAUUAGAUACCCUGGUAGUCCACACCGUAAACGAUGAUUACUAGGUGUUGGAGGAUUGACCCCUUCAGUGCCGCAGUUAACACAAUAAGUAAUCCACCUGGGGAGUACGACCGCAAGGUUGAAACUCAAAGGAAUUGACGGGGGCCCGCACAAGCAGUGGAGUAUGUGGUUUAAUUCGACGCAACGCGAAGAACCUUACCAAGUCUUGACAUCCCUUGACGAACAUAGAAAUAUGUUUUCUCUUCGGAGCAAGGAGACAGGUGGUGCAUGGUUGUCGUCAGCUCGUGUCGUGAGAUGUUGGGUUAAGUCCCGCAACGAGCGCAACCCUUAUGGUCAGUUACUACGCAAGAGGACUCUGGCCGGACUGCCGUUGACAAA